This 440-nucleotide ribosomal RNA is filed under the name uncultured bacterium. Its description in RNAcentral is "partial 16S ribosomal RNA". It matches the Rfam family "Bacterial small subunit ribosomal RNA", at positions 339 to 795 of the family's 1533-position model. The record is from RNAcentral.
CUACGGGCGGCUCCAGUAGGGAAUAUUGGACAGUGGGCGAAAGCCUGAUCCAGCAACACCGCGUGCACGAUGACGGCCUUCGGGUUGUAAAGUGCUUUUAGAGGAGAUGAGAAAGGACAGUAUCCUCUGAAUAAGCCUCGGCGAACUACGUGCCAGCAGCCGCGGUAAAACGUAGGAGGCAAGCGUUAUCCGGAUUUAUUGGGCGUAAAGCGCGUGCAGGCGGUCUAGCAAGUUGGAUGUGAAAGCUCCCGGCUCAACUGGGAGAGGUCGUUCAAUACUGUUAGACUAGAGAAUAGGAGAGGGAGGUGGAAUUCCGGGUGUAGUGGUGAAAUGCGUAGAUAUCCGGAGGAACACCAGUGGCGAAAGCGGCCUCCUGGACUAUUUCUGACGCUAAGACGCGAAAGCUAGGGUAGCAAACGGGAUUAGAUACCCCUGUAGUC